This 497-nucleotide ribosomal RNA is filed under the name uncultured bacterium. RNAcentral describes it as "partial 16S ribosomal RNA". It matches the Rfam family "Bacterial small subunit ribosomal RNA", at positions 28 to 507 of the family's 1533-position model. The record is from RNAcentral.
GAUGAACGCUGGCGGCGUGCCUAAUACAUGCAAGUCGAGCGAACGGACGAGAAGCUUGCUUCUCUGAUGUUAGCGGCGGACGGGUGAGUAACACGUGGAUAACCUACCUAUAAGACCGGGAUAACUUCGGGAAACCGGAGCUAAUACCGGAUAAUAUUUUGAACCGCAUGGUUCAAAAGUGAAAGACGGUCUUGCUGUCACUUAUAGAUGGAUCCGCGCUGCAUUAGCUAGUUGGUAAGGUAACGGCUUACCAAGGCAAUGAUGCAUAGCCGACCUGAGAGGGUGAUCGGCCACACUGGAACUGAGACACGGUCCAGACUCCUACGGGAGGCAGCAGUAGGGAAUCUUCCGCAAUGGGCGAAAGCCUGACGGAGCAACGCCGCGUGAGUGAUGAAGGUCUUCGGAUCGUAAAACUCUGUUAUUAGGGAAGAACAUAUGUGUAAGUAACUGUGCACAUCUUGACGGUACCUAAUCAGAAAGCCACGGCUAACUACGUG